Molecule: long non-coding RNA, 418 nt
Filed under: Ananas comosus (pineapple)
Lineage: Eukaryota; Viridiplantae; Streptophyta; Magnoliopsida; Poales; Bromeliaceae
Description: long non-coding RNA (ACOM_LNC012273)
Source: RNAcentral
UUUCGAUGAUAGAGCCUCCAAAUCGACGAUCAGCAUUGUUGAACAUGAUCUAUACCACUUGAAAUGUUUAGAAAUCAAAUUUCAAAUCUUUUCGACAUCAUUUGCCUAAUGAUCAAAGGGUUUCAAAAUUUGUAAUUUUAAUGGUCGAUAUGAGGCGUUUUCUCGUUUAAUGGCGUGAAGAUAUUCAAAUCAAUUGAAUUUUUGUUAGAAAAUUCGUUAAACUAUUUAAAACAAAAUCUAUCCUCUUGAUCUUGAUUACAAGACUCCUAUCAUUAUUUUUUAAAGAAUAUUCAUUUUCAACCGUUCAUUUUUGUGUCCACUUGAUGGAUAAGAGAAUAAUAUCGAAAAUGUAUCAAAUUUGAUUUCUAAACACUUCAAGUGGUAUAGAUCAUAUUCAACGAUGCCGAUCGUCGAUUUG